UUUUUUUUUUUUCUUUUAAAAAUAAGACUUAUUUUCAUUUUUAAGUGUGUGUCUGUGUCUGUGUGUGUCUGGGUACACACCUGAGCUCAGGUACCCAGGUGCUUCUGGAUUCCCUGGAGUUACAGGAGAUUGUGAGCGACAUGAUGUGGGUGUUGGGACCCAAACUCAGUGCCUGUGACAACAGUUCCUGCUCUAACUGCUGUGCCAUCUCCAGACCCACAUUCUUUCCUUUUCUUUCUUUCCCCCUCUCCUUCUUGCUGCCUUACAUCUUCCUCCCAGUCUGACCCUCUUUUUCUCGCUGUGUAGAUGUUGACUCAGUAUUUGAUUCCAUUGGUGUAAAUAGACAGUGACUUUUGUUUUUUAAAUCCUAAAAGCAAGGUCAGUGUCCUGUCAUACCAGUGGGCUUCAGCAAUGUGACCCUGGAUCUCAAGAGGCCACUUUGUUGCAGUCCCUUCUAGGAGCCCUGAGGGACAAUAGGGUGGAUAACUGCCCCUACUCCCCUGGAUUCUGGGGAGCUCUGGUGCAUGAAGAGGCAACCUCAGGGGUGGCAGGGCCAGUGGGCAGGCAUACAGUGCUCUGAGGAAGCGAUGCACCCAUCUCACUUCAUCUUUGCUGUAGGCCUCUGAGGAGAUCCUAUUCUUGUUUGGCAGAAGAAUUUCAAAGCUGGUUACUGACUGAUAAGGGCAUGAACCCAGGUCUGUGGCAAACUCUAGGUAUACCUAAAUCAGAAUUCAGAAACGGCAGAGGUUGGGAUGCCCAACCCCUUUGCCUCUUCUCCACCUCUCUGUCCUUUAGAGUCUCUCCUAGACCUAGAAUAAUGUGGAAAAUUCCUUUGAGCUUUCAAGUGAUGGCUAAGGACCAUUGACAUACAGUCACCAGAAGCUCACCAGAAGAUAUUGCCUUAGACUUGCCAAUAUGAAAUUAGCUGCUUAAGAGACCCCAGAGGUUGGUAGGACAGUCAGCUGAGGGAAAGCUCGCUGACUCUUAUGGGUUGUGACCUCCAGAUAGACUGGUAAACCAUUGAGUCUGUGCUGGAGAUAUAGAAGUGGAAAGUACCCUGAUUUGAUAUCUGAUCCAGAGCCUGAUAGUUUGUAUUAUUCUAUGUAAAAAUGGAAGAUAAAAUUAUCAUAAAAGCACCCCUUGCUGAGGCUAUGUGCAGAGUUACUGCUGCCUGGCCUCUAAUUCCAGGCAGAGGACUUACUCAGAAGGAGUCAAAACAAAGUCAGGUGUCCUCACUAGCUGGCCGAGAAGGUGGACAGCCCUCUGUCUUCAUAGCUUCCUGUAAUCGGGAGACUUAGCCAGCCUCCAACAGCUCUGCCAUCUAAAGACAGAGUCCUAGGUUAGACCAAAGAAGCAUGGUGGACCUGCUUCCAAUCCUAGCUCGCAGGAGGCUGAGAUAGGAGGAUUGCUGUGGAUUCAAGAUCUGCCUGAACUACCUGGCAGAAAAGGAAGAAGAGGGAAAGGGAAGAGAGGGAGAGGAGGACUUCCUAAAGAAAACACAGCCCUAGACAAAUCUAGGCUCUGGGCUCCUGUCUGCCUCCAUUCCCCAAUUCUACUGAGCAUGUCUUUCUUGCCUUAGCCAAAAGGGGAGGAGAAGGAUUUGGGUCUGGAAGGGGUGGUUUUGUUUUCUUCUUUUGAGGCAAGGACACAAGUAGCAGAGCUGUCCUUGAAUUCCCCAUGUAGCUGAGGAUGGCUUUGAACCUAUGAUACUCUCAUUUCUACUUCCUGAGUUUGGGGUUCCAGAAGGCACAACCACACCCGGCUUUACAUAGACAGGAAUGGACCUUGUGGGAUGGAGGCUACAGCCUGGUGCUAUGCUGGCACCAUCUUACCUCCAGAACAGAAGUGUUACACAAGUUGUGCACCCCUAUUCUGAAAACCUGAGGGUUCAAAGCCUGAAAGGUUUUAAAUGCCCACGAGAGGCCUCAAGGGGAAGAUUCCACAUCUGACCUUCUGGAAUGGGUCACAGUCACCAGGCCAGCAGCCUAAAAUUUACUGAACCAAAUGACACUGAGUCUAUUCACAGGACAUGCAUAUGAAACAAAUUAAUUUUCUAUUUGUGACUUUGCUCCUGUUCCCAAGAUAUCUCAACAUCUACAUACAAAUAUUCCAAAAUAAAAUUCC
Molecule: long non-coding RNA, 2124 nt
Filed under: Mus musculus (house mouse)
Lineage: Eukaryota; Metazoa; Chordata; Mammalia; Rodentia; Muridae
Description: long non-coding RNA chr6:86223114-86225238
Source: RNAcentral